This 593-nucleotide ribosomal RNA is filed under the name uncultured Verrucomicrobiota bacterium. Its description in RNAcentral is "bacterial SSU rRNA". It matches the Rfam family "Bacterial small subunit ribosomal RNA", at positions 28 to 633 of the family's 1533-position model. The record is from RNAcentral. Lineage: Bacteria; Pseudomonadati; Verrucomicrobiota.
AACGAACGCUGGCGGCGUGGAUAAGACAUGCAAGUCGAACGGGAUGUCUUUGUAGCAAUACGGAGACAUCUAGUGGCAAACGGGUGAGUAACACGUGAGAACCUACCCCUGAGAGGAGCAUAGCCAGUCGAAAGAUUGGGUAAUUCUCCAUAAUCCCGAGAGGGCAAAGUCGCAAGACGCUCAGGGAGGGGCUCGCGCCCUAUCAGCUAGUUGGUAGGGUAACGGCCUACCAAGGCGAUGACGGGUAGCUGGUCUGAGAGGACGACCAGCCACACUGGAACUGAGACACGGUCCAGACACCUACGGGUGGCAGCAGUCGAGAAUCUUCCACAAUGGACGAAAGUCUGAUGGAGCGACGCCGCGUGGAGGAUGACGGUCUUCGGAUCGUAAACUCCUGUCGCCGCAGAGCAAGGCAGCGCAAGCUGCUUGAGAUUAUGCGGAGAGGAAGGGACGGCNAACUCUGUGCCAGCAGCCGCGGUAAUACAGAGGUCCCAAGCGUUGNUCGGAUUCACUGGGGCGUAAAGGGUGUGUAGGAGGUUAGGUAAGUCUAGNGUGGAAAUCCCGACNCUCAACGUCAGAACUGCGUUAGAUAC